RNA transcript from Oncorhynchus masou masou (cherry salmon), 3451 nucleotides. It is a transcript of the gene named tetratricopeptide repeat protein 39C-like, with no coding region annotated. The transcript has 15 exons. The record is from RefSeq and is a predicted model, not a curated record. Lineage: Eukaryota; Metazoa; Chordata; Actinopteri; Salmoniformes; Salmonidae.
GAGAUGCGCUUUGCUAUACGUUAUGACGACAAUCAGUUUUUCAACUGACGACAAUCAUUGCGUGGGGCAGACAAAAAAGCUAAACAGCCCUUUCUUCUUGUUAUGUAAUAGCAUAAAACACAGCAAGCAGAGGAGACUUUGACUUUGUGCAUUGCAAAUAUCAUGACGACCAACUAGCACAUUGUAAAUUACGAGGAAGAACAUGUCUAAAUGAAUGUAUACCUAUUUUAAUCUUAGAAAUAGCAUGUAAAGGGUGCAUUGUGUGCAUUUGCACGAAGCUCGGAUGCGCGCCGAGGAUUAAUUUACCGGUGACCAAUUUGAGUCGCCUUCUGAAGAGGUUUAUCGCUGCACUGGUGUGAUUCCUUCAGAAUUUUGGCCGAAAGGAGCGUCUCUCACCUCAUUUGUAAGGAUAUGCCGGAACAGUGUCAUCAUCAAUAACCAAGUUGUGAUAGUCUACUGGGAAGAUUAAUUUUGGAAUCACAUUUUGUCCUGUAUUGAAUAUAUUAAUUAUAUCAAGCAGACGAUAGGCAUAAACAAUGGCGGGCCCGGAGCAGUCCCAGCAGGUAGAGCAGAAAGCUGAGCCCAUAGACGACGCUGAGCUCGCUCUUCAAGGUAUCAACAUGCUUCUCAACAACGGAUUCAAGGAGAGCAACGAGCUUUUCAGAAAAUAUAGGACUCACAGUCCACUGAUGAGCUUUGGGGCCAGUUUUGUCAGCUUCCUGAAUGCCAUGAUGACCUUUGAGGAGGAGAAGAUGCAGACGGCGUGUGACGACCUGAGAACCACGGAGAAGCUGUGUGAGAGUGACAAUGCUGGCGUCAUAGAGACAAUCAGGAACAAAAUCAAGAAGAGUUUGGAGUCCCAGAGGUCAGCGGUCGUGGUUGUGGACCGCCUGCAACGACAGAUCAUUGUGGCCGACUGCCAGGUCUACCUCGCUGUGCUUUCCUUCGUCAAGCAGGAGCUCUCAUCGUACAUAAAAGGAGGCUGGAUCCUCCGUAAGGCCUGGAAGAUGUACAAUAAGUGCCACAGUGACAUCAGUCAGCUGCAGGAGACCUGUGUGAGGCGCUGUUCCUCCCAUGAGGAGGAUCUGUCCUCAGACCAGGCCAAUCACAACUCCCCAGUGGAGGGCGCUGUGACUGAAGAGGCCCUGGACCGGCUCAAGGGCUCCGUCAGCUUCGGCUACGGCCUCUUUCACCUCUGCAUCUCUAUGGUACCACCACACCUACUCAAGAUCAUCAACCUGCUGGGUUUCCCUGGUGACCGUCUCCAGGGUUUGUCCUCCCUCAUGUAUGCCAGUGAGAGUAAGGACAUGAAGGCCCCACUAGCUACGUUGGCCCUCCUGUGGUACCACACAGUAGUGCUGCCCUUUUUUGCACUGGAUGGUUCUGACACUCAGGCAGGCCUGGAGGAAGCCAAGGCCAUUCUGCAGAGGAAGGCUGUGGUCUACCCCAAUUCCUCCCUCUUCAUGUUCUUUAAAGGACGUGUUCAGAGGUUAGAGUGCCAAAUUAACAGUGCGCUGGUGUCCUUCCAUGAUGCACUAGAGCUUGCAUCAGACCAAAGAGAGAUCCAGCACGUGUGUCUCUAUGAAAUCGGCUGGUGCAGUAUGAUAGAGAUGAACUUUGAGGAUGCAUUCAGGUCAUUUGAGAGGCUGAAGAAUGAGUCCCGGUGGUCACAAUGUUACUAUGCCUACCUGACUGGAGUAUGUCAGGGAGCUGCAGGGGACUUGGAUGGUGCCAAGUGUGUCUUCAAAGAUGUCCAGAAACUGUUCAAGAGGAAGAACAACCAGAUUGAGCAGUUUGCCCUCAAGCGGGCGGAGAGACUGAGGAAGAUGUCUCCCACCAGAGAGCUGUGCAUUCUGGGUGUCAUAGAGGUGCUGUACCUGUGGAAGGCUCUGCCCAACUGCUCCUCCUCCAAACUGCAGCUCAUGAAUCAGGUGUUACAGAGUGUGGAUGACGCAUCGUGCAGGGGUCUGAAAAACCUCCUUCUUGGUUCCAUUCACAAAUGCCAUGGAAAUAAUAAAGAUGCUAUCCAGUCGUUCCAGCUGGCAGCCAGAGAUGAGUUUGGUCGACAGACCAACUCUUAUGUGCAGCCAUACUCCUGCUAUGAGCUUGGAUGUGUCCUGCUUGCCAAACCAGAGACGGUGGGAAAAGGGAGAGCUUUUCUGCUUCAGUCAAAGGAGGAUUAUGCAGGCUAUGACUUUGAGAACAGACUUCACGUGCGCAUCCACUCAGCCAUGGCCUCGCUGAAGGAAGUGGUACCUCAAAGACCCGCCGACCACUGAUGUAAUGAUAACUCAGCCUCCAGCUGUGCAUUUGAUGAUACGGGAAGCAUGGCUUUUACUAUACAUUGAAAGCCAUUCAAAACCACAAGAAUUUGGCAGUACAUGCAACCGGCCUCACAACCGCAGACCCUGUGUAACCACGCCAGCCCAGGACCUCCACAUCCGGCUUCUUCACGUGCGGGAUCGUCUGAGGAGGGGGAUGGGGGGUGCUGAGGAGUAUUUGUCUCUGUAAUAAAGCCUUAAUGUGUGGGGGAAAAAACUCAUUCUGAAUGGCUGUGCCCCUGCCCAAUCGUGAAAUCCAUAGAUUAGGGCCUAUUGAAUUUAUUUAAAUUUAAUGAUUUCCUUCUACUCAGUAAAAUCUUUGAAAUUGUUAAAUGUUAAAUUAAAAUUGUUAAAUGCCAUACUAAUAAAGGCAUUUUAAUUUAAUUAUAUGAAGAGUGCCUUGGUCCUCCUUUCUUUUUGAUGACCAAUUUACCCCUUUUACCAAAGAGCACCUCCUGUCUACCAAAAUGUACUAUUGUGUACCUUAGUAGCGCUUCCCUUCCUCCUCUUUCUACUUGUUAUUAGUUGCGUUUCUGUUUCUGUUCAGUAUACAUGAAGGGGGAUAUAAACGGUCUUUGCAUCUGGUGCUGGUCAAAUGUGGAAUAACUCUUUGCCACCCUUCAUAUAGCAUGGUAUAUUAUUAUGAAUGAUUUCUGAAACAUCUAUAUAGGCCUUGUGGUAAAGGGCUUGUGAAGGCUUCAACAUGCUAUGUUUCCUUUAAUGUGGGACUCUUUUUUUCAUGUUCAAGGUUGUUUUUGAACAUUGUUUUAUCUACACUAAAGUCAGUCACUGACCUCCCAUCUUUUCCUGUGACUGUGUAAAAGGAUGUAAGAUGUGGUGUGAUGUAUACCUUUUGACUACUGAGUGUGUGACCAGUAAGUGCUGGUAUAAAGUAAGUUCACAGCUGUAAGAGAAAAGUGUAUUAGAAUGUAAUAAAUAAUGAGUUAAAUGUCAUUAUAUGUAUACCAAAAAACGGAGACAUUCCUUUCUUAGAAAUGUGUUCUAUCCACUUUGUCGUGGGGUGGUGGAGGAUUAUGUGGAUAGAGAUGGUUAAAUUGUAACAGGAAGUUGUUCCUAUGUGGUGUCAGAGCCCUACAUACUGUUCAAUAAAGUGUUGUCAAUUAAUUCUG